CAGUAGCCGCGGUAAAACGUAGGGUGCGAGCGUUAAUCGGAAUUACUGGGCGUAAAGCGUGCGCAGGCGGUUCGUUAAGACAGAUGUGAAAUCCCCGGGCUUAACCUGGGAACUGCAUUUGUGACUGGCGAGCUAGAGUAAGGCAGAGGGGGGUAGAAUUCCACGUGUAGCAGUGAAAUGCGUAGAGAUGUGGAGGAAUACCGAUGGCGAAGGCAGCCCCCUGGGCCAAUACUGACGCUCAUGCACGAAAGCGUGGGGAGCAAACAGGAUUAGAUACCCGCGUAGUCCCUGUCUCUUAUAC
RNAcentral lists this ribosomal RNA (301 nucleotides) under uncultured bacterium. RNAcentral's name for it is "partial 16S ribosomal RNA". It matches the Rfam family "Bacterial small subunit ribosomal RNA", at positions 509 to 807 of the family's 1533-position model. The record is from RNAcentral.